UACGUAGGUGGCGAGCGUUGUCCGGAUUUACUGGGCGUAAAGCGUGCGCAGGCGGUGAUGUAAGACAGGUGUGAAAUCCCCGGGCUUAACCUGGGAACUGCAUUUGUGACUGCAUCGCUGGAGUGCGGCAGAGGGGGAUGGAAUUCCGCGUGUAGCAGUGAAAUGCGUAGAUAUGCGGAGGAACACCGAUGGCGAAGGCAAUCCCCUGGGCCUGCACUGACGCUCAUGCACGAAAGCGUGGGGAGCAAACAGG
Molecule: ribosomal RNA, 253 nt
Filed under: uncultured bacterium
Lineage: Bacteria
Description: partial 16S ribosomal RNA
Rfam family: Bacterial small subunit ribosomal RNA
Source: RNAcentral